UCCGAAGGCAGGUAAGCCACUGACUGACGCACAUUGCGCCCCUUCUUAACCCCACUGUGCGUGUGACAGCGGCUAACCAGUCUUUGGGCGUCCAUCAC
RNAcentral lists this microRNA precursor (98 nucleotides) under Scleropages formosus (Asian bonytongue). Its description in RNAcentral is "mir-210 microRNA precursor family". It matches the Rfam family "mir-210 microRNA precursor family". The record is from Rfam by way of RNAcentral. Lineage: Eukaryota; Metazoa; Chordata; Actinopteri; Osteoglossiformes; Osteoglossidae.